AUAGCGUAUAUUAAAGUUGCUGCAGUUAAAAAGCUCGUAGUUGAAUUUCGGGCUCAAUAUGUUGGUCGUGCCUCGGUCCGUACUAGCUUAUUGGUUUCUUCCUUCUGACGAACCAUAAUGUCAUUUAUUUGGUGUUAUGGGAAUCAGGACUGUUACUUUGAAAAAAUUAGAGUGUUUAAAGCAGGCUCAUGCUUGAAUACAUUAGCAUGGAAUAAUGAAAUAGGACGUUUGAUUCUAUUUUGUUGGUUUCUAGGAUCGACGUAAUGAUUAAUAGGGAUAGUUGGGGGCAUUAGUAUUCAAUUGUCAGAGGUGAAAUUCUUGGAUUUAUGAAAGACUAACUUUUG
Molecule: ribosomal RNA, 344 nt
Filed under: uncultured eukaryote
Lineage: Eukaryota
Description: SSU rRNA
Rfam family: Eukaryotic small subunit ribosomal RNA
Source: RNAcentral